RNAcentral lists this ribosomal RNA (407 nucleotides) under Verrucomicrobiota bacterium. Its description in RNAcentral is "Verrucomicrobia bacterium partial 16S ribosomal RNA". It matches the Rfam family "Bacterial small subunit ribosomal RNA", at positions 355 to 776 of the family's 1533-position model. Lineage: Bacteria; Pseudomonadati; Verrucomicrobiota. The record is from RNAcentral.
UGGGGAAUAUUGGACAAUGGAGGCAACUCUGAUCCAGCAAUUCUGUGUGUGUGAAGAAGGUUUUAGGACUGUAAAACACUUUUAGUAGGGAAGAAAGAAAUGACGGUACCUACAGAAGAAGCGACGGCUAAAUACGUGCCAGCAGCCGCGGUAAUACGUAUGUCGCGAGCGUUAUCCGGAAUUAUUGGGCGUAAAGAGCUUGUAGGCGGUUCGUCGCGUCUGGUGUGAAAGCCCAUCGCUUAACGGUGGGUUUGCGCCGGGUACGGGCGGGCUAGAGUGCAGUAGGGGAGACUGGAAUUCCCGGUGUAACGGUGGAAUGUGUAGAUAUCGGGAAGAACACCAAUGGCGAAGGCAGGUCUCUGGGCUGUUACUGACGCUGAGAAGCGAAAGCGUGGGGAGCGAACAGG